AGUUUCUUUGGUAAGCUGUGUCAAAUUUGCAUUGUGAAUACUACUUGUACUCACCUUUCUUCUUAGGUUUUCUCUUUACAUCACAUUUUUUCUCUAUCGUCUUGUUAGGCUUGCUAACCUUUUUCAUUCUUACAGCAACUUGGAUAGAAAGAAUGAUUUUUGGCCCUGAGUCCCUUAGAAAGCAAUUUCUGAUCUUUUCAGUUUGCAUGUGAAGAAGUGGAACAGCAGCAUAUGAAACCCUUUAUGGGAUAGAUCUUGACAGAUAGUAUUAUAUUUUAGAAAAAAACGAGUAUGCUUGCUGCCAGAAUGUGCUGCUGUCUCUGCCCCAAAUUCUAUUUUUAUUUCUGUUCUCCUUAGCAGAACAGAACAAUAAUAACACAUUUAUUUUUUUUUCUAUUGUUUUUUGAAUUAUUUUCUAGCCUAACUCCAAAAAAGAACCCUGCAAGUAGAGAUGAGGUCUUUGUAGAAUGGCACCUGCUGAUCCUCCGUGAGGCAGCCUUAUCUGGCCCAACCCUGCCAGAUCUCUUGGCAGUGCUGCAUUAUUCCUGCCAGGCAGCUUUUGCCAAGGUCAUUUGACUAGAAGGCCUCUGGAAAAAGAUUUCUUUCGCCUUGGUCUGUGAAGAUUAAGAAAACUACAAACAACAACAACAAAACAAACAAACAAAAACAAAACCAAAAAACAACCACAAAAGAGGAGGAAGAAAGAGAACCUUUCAUUGUCAUGGACUUCCCAGCUUUACAGAAAACAGAUUUCUUUUAAAUGAACAAGACGUGGAUUUCACCACUGCUCUUUCUCAUUUCUUCAGAGCCUGUAAAGAUAUUCUUUACUACUAGCUGCAUACCUGUCCCUGAAAUGAAGGGAACUGAUUAAGGCUUUUGCUUUUGGAACGGUAUUAAAGUAAUAGCAAUUCUGCAUUGUGGCUGGUAGUCUUUUAGUCAUGUUGGAUCAUAAAUGAUGAAAAUGGAAUUGUUUUGUAACCUCCAGUCAAUGAGAUUUGUUCCAGGUUUUAAGAUGCAUUCAGCUCUCACUGAACACGCCUUACUGCUUCAGAAGCAUGAUAAAAAUCUUUCCUGAGUUAAAUCUCAAGUCUGUCAUUGAAGAGGAAGUCUGCUAUGCAGAAACAAACUCCACUUCUCUCAUUUGCUCAGAGAUUGCUGGGAGGUGAAAAAGAAGUGAGAAAAGACAAGGAAAAAGAAGAAAUAAUGAUAAAGGUGUGUGCUUUUGAUACUCCAGAAAGUACUGGGGUUAGAAUCAGGCUGCCAGGAUGCAUAGCAGUGAGCGCUGGCAUGUGAUGUGAAUAACCGAUAUUAAAGCUGCACCCUUGUUCAGACCACAUCAGAAGUUGAAAAGCUGAAAAAUUAUGAGCUGCGUGUGGGACUUUAAAUUGCUGCUUUAAUUAAAAAGAACCCAUGGACAGAGGGUAAGUAGCUAAAAAUUUGUUUCGUAGAAGAGCUGAAUGUCCUUUGCUGCAGAGGCUGGACAGGCUGUACAGACAGUGGGGUAAGCUUAGGGAGGGGAAAGGAGCCCAUUGUAGGAAACACUGCAGUAGGGAUUUUGCUAUUUCAGCCUUUGCCACAGGGCCCUAGAUCAGAUUUUGCACAGAUGAUUGGCACCUGUUCUCUGUGCUUGACAGAGACCUCUAAAUUGCAGGAGGACCCCUGGGCUGUGCUUUCAACACGAAGCUUUAUAGAACACUAAGUACUUUCUGAAAUAAGGUUUCAGUUAUCUUAUACUGAGCAUCCACAUAAAAUGGAACAUUCUGACCUUGUUGUUUCAGUAACAGGAGAAAUGCAGUAUUAGUCACUUCAUUGUGCUUGGAGUUCUUCAAAGAUGUACUGGUUACUGUUUGCAAACCUUUUUUGCAAACCUGAAAAAUCUGGACAAUAAAUGCAAACAUAUUGAACUGUGUUUUGUUGUAUAUAUAUAUAUAUAUAUAUAAUUGUUAUAUAGUUUCUGUGACUACUUGAGUAUUCAGGAUGCACACACAGAAUACUCUAAAAGUAAUCUUCUCUUUCAAAAUACUUAUUUUAUAAACACAUAGAUCUGGACUUUGCUGUGAAAGAUUUUACUUUAAAUAGACUAUAAAAUCAGCUAUUCCCAGAGGCUGCUGACUCUUCUUAUUACCUUGCUUAAAUCAAAUAUUCUUUUGCAACUAGAAUCUUUAUUUGUUUGAAGGAGAGAUUCACAGAGGUGGUGGUAACAAGGAGUAGUUCAAAUAGGAAUAUACAAUACAGCUUAAUUAAUGUAUAAAGCUCAAAGAGAUAAUCACUCCUCCUGACUGCUGUAUCAUUAAGAUUAGAGGCUGAAAAAUCUUCCUUCCUGAAGGUUCUCAAGACAAAAAUAAAUCUGUGAGCUUUACAUAUUUCAUUUUUCAUUUUUAUUUCCAUUCAGUUUAACUAAUUGAACACAAACUGUAGGAACCCUGAGUAUGUGCACACAAAUGAAAAUAUGAAGUACCUUUUUUAUAAGCCUCAGAAGCCUCAGAGGAACUGUAUUACUUUCAGUCAGCAAAAACUACUUUAAAAAAAAAGAAAGAUAAAACCAUAUUUGAUAGCUGCUGAAAGAGAGUAUAAUCCAGAUACAGACAUUAUGGCACAACAUGCCAUGCAGUUUCAAUCUGCUACACUUUAGUAGCACAUCAGUCACAAUGAGCCCAUUGUGAAAAGUUCUCUUCUCUUUGUAUAUUUUUUUAGGAGACCCCCGGAGGCAGUGGGAAACAUAUUUUUGUAUGAGAGCAAACACACGGUCUUUGGGAUAAUCUGAACCAUUCUUGAUUGAUAAUUCUUAUAUGGAUCCUAAAAUGGAGGUUUCCCAGCUGUGCUUGAUGAGACUCAUAAUCUCAUCUAAUGCUGAUAGCUCCUGAAAGACUGUUCCAGAUCUCAUGAGUCCUGAAACAUGAGAUGGGUGGAGCAGGCCAUAGCAAGUGCCCACUUCACAGAGACCCCAUUCAAGCAUUGGGUGUCAGCAUUUGCCAGCAGACAGCAGUUGGAGUCAAGUCAGAGACAGGCAAUGACAAAUUUAGCAUCUUCCUCCAGUUGUAGAGGCAGCCUAGUGCACAUGCACAGACUUGUAGUAUGAGGAACAUGCCAAGGAGCUUCCAGCACCUCCCUGCUAUAAACAGCACCUGUGCUGCCAAAUGGUGGUGCUGCUGCAUGGUCAAACCCUUCCACAGUGCCUCCAAUUUAUGAAGAUGAUUCCCAGGGCCUGGCCUAACUUUCUUUGGAACCAAGAGAGUGAUGGAAUUAAAAAUCAAGAUCCUUGUUCCCCUUCUCAUGUGAGCAAUUCACCUGACCACAUGAUGUUGAAUGCUUUCUCAAGUUAAGCUCUCUGCUCAGUAAAUAAAAGCCAUUUGAUUAAAGGAGUGUGACUAAGAGCACACUCUUUUGUGUGGAUCAGCCUCCAGAGGCUGAUUUACCUAAAGAUUCAGAUUAAAGUUUUCUCUAGCCUUAUCUGUCUGCUACUCUGAAUUGCUUUCAAUGAAAUCUUGCAAGUGAUGCAGGAGUGAGAAGUUGCUCAUAUCCUUCAAAUGAGAAGACCUGUGUUUUUCUCAUGUGGCUUUUUUUUUUUUUUUUCCCAUGAGAUCAUGUCAAACUCAUUUGCAAACAACAGACUAUUUUUUUCCCAUCUUGCUAAAACUAAUUUUUUUGGCAGUAUUCUACAGAGAUGUUAGAAUAAUUUCCAUGGCUUGCAGGAGAUGUUCUGUGCUGUAUCCUUAGAGGUAAUGAACAAGAAACAGCAAAGGCAACUUCUCCUACUCCCUUCCCAUACUGCUGUGGGAACAAAUACCCAUCAGAAAAAAAGCCUACCAAAGCUGCCUUUAUGCCAGCUGAAGCAAUUGAUGAUAUAGCCUGCCCAAGACACUGUAUACGUUACCUUCCUGAGCCAAAGUGUAACUAUGAAUUUAAAAUUGGCCUUCACACAUGGAUUUACAGUGCACUAGAAGUAUAUUAAGACUUCAAAUCCAGAUAUAGGCCUCCAGCAGUGAGUUAACUAAGCCCCCAAACCUCCAAUCACUUACAAAUAAACUACUGCUUCAAGAAAACUGUAAGAAGAAAUACCCUAUGCUGAAUACUCUGUAUGUGUUCUGUACUUUACAGCCUCAUAGUGGCAUUAAGGGAAAAGUAAGUGGGAAACAAGGUUAGAAAACGCCAAAGUAGUGGUUGCCUGGGGAACUUGAAUUCAGCUUUUUUAUAGGUCAGUCUUUGAGCAUACUAUUGGAUACUGUUGUGAAUUUUAUUUAUUUAUUUUUAUAUAUAUAUAUUUUUUUUUUCUUUUUUUUUCUUUUUUCCUUUCAGCAUGGACAAAACAAUUGAUCUUCUUUUGUUAUUCUCCACUCAGAAAAAUGACUGUUGUUCUGGAACUGAAACUGAAGCUUAGAAAUUGCAUGGGAAAUUUCAGCCUAAGCAGUGAAAAACAAAGUGUUAAGCAAUUAGAAAGAGUGUCUUAUAAUGCAAAGAGCUGGGGACUGUUGAACCGCACUGUUCUAUUUCCAUCACCAAGCAGAAAUAGCUGUGUAGCAACGUGUAGCAUCUUUGCAAGAACAAUCUCCCAGAGAGCCCGUGGUUAAGACAACAGGCCAAACAGUCAGUUUGCACUCAUUCUGGACAUAAAGGAGGAAAAAGAAUGAGGAGAUCAAACUGCAGAAAGAGCUAUAAGAUUUCAGAGUGGAAAAGUGUCACCAGGAGCUACCCACUGCUACUUUGGUUAUCAGCUCCAGAGACAACAGCAACAAGGAUUUCAGAAAUAGUAGCCUAGGACUUUUGCUAUAGACUUAAUGGUGAUGGUCAAAAGAGAUGUAAAGUAUCUUCUGAAUCAGGUUUUCACAGCCAUCCUCAAGCAAAAAAAGAUGUAAGGAAGUCGACCAACACUUGGUUCAGGAACUUGGACCAUUUCAGAACACUGAGACCUCUGCUUUUAGCACAAAAAGGAUGUUAAUCAUCCAUUCUGUUUCAUAUUAAUAAUUUCUGUUAUUUGCUCUUGGAAUUACAGUUAUAUAGAUCUUACAGUUCUCAGGGGUAUUUCUUUUCAGCAUUUUUUUCAAAAAAGAAGAAUAAAACUAGCAAAAACCAAGCAAAACUCAAGAAUGUUCCCUCCUUCAACCAUUUAACAUAAUCUUAUAUUCAUAAUUUAAAAUUUCUGGAUGCAGCUGCUCUUUUAUAUUAGCUGUAUGUGUCUGAAAUCAACAGUUUCUACAAAAAGGUAAGUAUAGAGUUACUUGACAGGAUUGUAAAGAUAUUGUGUCUUUUAAUCAGAGGAUGGUAAAACAACAGUAUGGAAUAACACGUUUAUUUCAUCCUGCUCUGGCUGUGAUGGACUCAGUGCAGACUGCAAAGACAGAGAUGGAUGUAGCUUCAACAUGUUUUUUGUGGCCCUGCCUCAUGGAGCUACUGCAGUGCCAUUAGAUGAGUGAAAUAAUUACUUCUUCCUACACACCAUGUUGUAUCCAAGUAAUGUGGAGAAGACAUAGCAGACCCUUUGAGAAAAUUUCCUCACACAAGGAAAAGUCUUUUUCAUGGAUGUUUCCACAGCAAUAUGGAGAUGGCCAAUCUUAUAUUUUGGAUUUUCACCCCAAACCUCUUUCCCUAAGGGAAGAUCAUUCUUUGGAACAGAGCAGAUUUGUUUGAAACUCUCUCUUUAUUGAGUCAGUGCCUUUAAUCUGAGAUGUGUUGUGAAAAUUGAAAACUAAAUGGUUGAGGCAAUACUCCUGGUGGUUGCAUGGAACAUAAGCUUUGGCCAGGCAUGAUUUUUUUAGGUGCACUACUGUAGCUGGAUUGUUAAUAAAGUGCUGAGACAGCUCUCUCUCUCUUUUUUUUCCUUUUUUUUUUCCAGAUAGUUUUAUAGGAAAAUGCAGAUGUGAUUUAAAUAAAGGCUUAUGGCUUAUAUAUUCCUUGGACUUUUUGUGCUCUCUGUUCAAAAACGUCUGCCCUUUUUGGGCUUCACUCUGACAUUUUAGUGGGUUCAGCUCAGCUUACUUCAAAAGAAAAAAGGAUUAAUAGGAAACUUAGUGUAGGGCCUUUCAGAUGAGACCUUUCAAAAGGAUCAUUGUUGCUCUGCUAGCCUACUGAAGUUCUCGUCACACUCUGUAAUGCUGAUGUCUUCACGGCCCUAGUAAAGCAUACAGACUCCGGAAUGAAAAAAUUAAUUACGUUGAGAGUUUGCCUCUGCAAAGUAUUGGCUGUUCUAUACUAUAAGUACAUGCUAAUUUUUAAGCUGAUUGAUAUACUGUCUACACUGGAAUUAGAGUUGUGGGUAUGUGGUUGAGGGGAAAAACAUAGUUUUCUGCUUCAAUAAAGGUAUGAUUCUUAUACCCAGUAUAAAUUUCAGGAUCCACAUGCUUGCAUGAAGUGUUGCCUGCACGCCACAGAUCAUUGCAAAAAAACCAAAACCCAAAGUGAAAAAACAUCUUCUAUGACUCUCUUUUUCCUUGGUCUCUUGUCAGGUGUGAUAUACUGUCUUAAUAUAGAAAGGGUUACAGUGGGUUGCUUCUGGACACUUCAGCAAUUUCCUUCAGGGCUACUGCCAAGAUUUUAUCUUCUUUUAUUAUACUUUGCAUUCUUGUUAAUGUGUACUUAAACAAACAUUGAUGUUGAUAUUUCUGCUCCAUUUAUUUCAUAUCAUUGGAUACAUUGGAUAAAAGCACAGGUUACCAUUACUAUUUUGUAAAGUUUCCUCACUUGCUUUGUGCUCCCUGUAGUGGCUUUAUAGUUUUCUUUUGUUUGCUGUUUUUGUUGUUGUUAUUGUUGUUUUUUGUUUUGUUUUGUUUUGUUUUGAUUUUUCUUUCCUGUCAUGGAAGAGACUGUUACUACUGCUUACAUUUAGAAAAUAAACAACAAUUGACUGUUGUUUCUGCAGACUUUUAAUGAAUAUUUAGAAAACCUCAUAUUUUUUAAGUCAGAGGUGUGAUGGAUGUGGAGAACUGGUAUUUCUAAGAUGUGUUAGUCAUGAUGCAAAUCUCAUGUUGACCUCAGAGGAACUGCUAAGGGUUAGUAGGGACUGCAGGAUUAUUCUCAGUGUACUUUCUCCCCUUCACAUUAUUUGCCUGGCAGUAUAGCAGUCAUGCAAUAGAUGAAGAUGAGAUGUUUUUCCUAUCAAUCUGUCUAUAGAGAAGUAUUAUGACAAAUGGAGAACCCCUGUAGAUGUAUAAUCUUAAUUAUGAUUCACAAAAUAUUCAAUACUGGGAAGCAGGAUUACUGUGAGUGAUAGUGAUUAAAGAUGGCAUCACUCCACCUUACUUUGUAAGCCUUGCUAAUGCUUCCAGCUUCCUUUGAGCCAGACAGAGAAAACACAUGGGGAGAUAUCUUGAUAUUUAGCAAAAUGCCUGCUUGGGAUUAACUGACCUUUGCUAUAAAUCAGAAGCAAAGUUGCCAGCUGGGCACUUUCAUAUGCAGACAGCAAGAAAAUGAGUAGAAGAGCUCUCUGAAGCAAAACACUACACAUGUAUUCUGCUCCCCAUCCCCCCUCCAUAUUCUGCCUCUUAUACUAUAAUAAUGCAGCUAUUACCGAGGGUAAACUAGAAGAGGUGUUUCAGCUCCAGUGUCUCUUCAUCCUUUCACAGCAAGCAUGACAAUUCUGCACGAGUUCAUAUUGACUAUUUAUUUUCAAAGGAAGCUGUUUGGCUGGCAUGAAGGGGGAAAGUAUGAACUGACACAGCAUACAAAAUACUGUUAUUUUAUGUUUUUACCUACAUUACUAACCCAGCAAAAACACAGAAAAACUAUUUUAACAGUUUAUAUCGAUAAGAUAUAUGCAAGUAAGUCUUUCUGAUUCAAAACAUCUCACAUGCAAGUUGAUCUGAUUUAGGACAGUUCAAGAGCUGACCUGUCUGGCUGCUGUGUAUAGCAAUGAUCCCUCUUUAAUGUGUCAGAAAAAACCCACUAUGUUUACUAGGAUUGUUCAUGUGCAAAACAGAGAUAAAUGACAACAGAAUAAGUUCCAAGUUUCUGGAAUAGUGCUUUUUGUGUGAGACCAACCACAUCUAAGCUUGUGGCAAAGAAGCACCAAUAAGGGCUAUCAUGCUGCCACAUGCGGAGACUUCACAUUUAACUGAGGGAUGAACUUGAUCUCUUUGCUGCACAGCAUUACAUUUCCCUGGAGCUGCACCUAUAAGGAGCUCUGCAUGAUUCAAUUUUAAUGAAUGUCUUCACAAACAGUACCCAUAUGCAGAAGAGAUUUAUUUUUUUGCAGGCUCAACAAAGUCUGAGUGGUUAGAUCUACGCAAAACAAAAAAUAAAAACUAACAUUGAGAAAAUGUGCUAUAUUUUCCACUAACUAUAUUCGUUUAGGAAACAGAAGCUCUUGUUCUAAUCUCAAAGGGGUUACUCAUGUUCUGCACAGUGUAUGUUCAGACUCAGACAACAGUUUCGUUCUGGGCUACACUUCAAAGAAAUGAUAAAACACGCAUUCUCUUCUGUUUUGUCACAGAUAAAGAGUGCAGGAAAGGCUCCUUCUUGAGCUUUAUGAGGAAAGUGUUAUUCAAUAAGCUGGUCACUGAAAUCCAGUACAAUGCAGUUUUAUCUUGAUAUGAAUCAACUUUUAUUUGCAUCUGUAUGUAGCAGUUAUGUGUUAUCAUCAUGUCUGUCUUCUUCUUGGAAGAUUUUAAGUGUCUGUGAACACAUGGACAUCCCAGACUCCCUUCCACAGUGUCUCCACCUUACUUUGCUGUGCUUAGUAUGUGGAGGCAGGUUCCAGUCCCAGUUCUUCUGGAGACUGGCCAGUUCAUGUUGCCAGUACAUCUGUUGUUUUUCUCCAGCUUCCCAUGGCACUGUCUCAGUAGAGUCACACUUCUCCAGGUCUUCAGUAUAUCUGUGCUAUGUAAUCUGGGUGGGUAGAGCAUGAUGGACAGCAGGAUGCGACAUGUUCCCCCAGAAUGGGAGUGUAUCUAGGUCCUUUCCUGUGGCUGGCUGGGAACAUGGAACACUUGAUCUGAACCACGUUGUUGGCUUUAUUACUUGAACUACAAUUUUUGAUAUAAAGGGUUCCACACAGUCUGCAAAUGUUUGACCCAGUAUAAUGUAUAAAUCCUCAGUUAAAAAUCUGUCAUGUAAUUUCAGCUUUUCUGAUUUGGUUCUAAGUGCUAGCUUCAUCCUCAGCUCUAACAGCAGACAUUAAUGAAUUUACCUGAGCUAUUCCACCUUUCUCUGGGCUUUGUCAUACUCCCCGGUAAUAGGAAGGGGCUGUAGAGAUGGUUAGGUGGUGGAAGUGGACCGGGUCCCAAGCAUCUUUCAGCCCAUUGGAAGAUUUUCUACAACAGGGAACUUCUCUGCUAGACCUUGUGCUCUGCUAUACAUGUGUAUUGCAAGAUCAGCACAAGUCUCUAAUGUGCUUUUCUGAUCAACUUGUCCAUGAAGUAAGACUCACUAAUGUUUGUCAUCUUUGGCUGGGGCAAUGGUCCAGUAUUCAGAUUUACUCAUCAAGGAAAUACAGUUAAAAUACCAUAGUUUGUAGCUUUAGAAUUUGUUUGCAACCCUUAGCCCAGCAUUUUAUUGAAUGUUUCAUUUAGUUGAGAGCAAUGAACAGUGAUGGUAUUUUUCCAAAUUGCAAACAAACUCAAAAUUACCCAUCUGGAUUACCAGCUGAGUAGACCUCUGCAAGUCUGCGUCUCACUUACUGUCACACUAAUGAUCAUAAUGACAGCUCUGUGUGAAUAUCCUCUUGCUUCACCCUUUUUAUUGCUCUGGAACCUACUCAAGAAUAAUUAGAUCAACGUCAGAUAUUCUGAUCCAGAGCAUUGAGCAGAGUGAUAGUAUGGUAUCAAAAUGAUGUAGAAGGCUCUUUUCCUGAUAAGAUAAACAAAUGUGGUGAUUUAACUUAUAAUAGGAGAUCGUAUAAGGAGCUAGACAAAAUACCUUCGGGUGUGCUAGGACAAGAACCAGAGAACUAGAAAUAUACUUUCCUGAAAAUGGAAUGAGGGGCAAAAGACUCUUAAUACAAGAUUCUGUAAGUUACUGGAAGACAGAGUUGUGCAGACACUCUCACAGUGUUGUGGAUGCAGGGGGUGAAUAAUCUGACUCUUUGUAGCUCAGUGACCUGAUACUGCUCAUGGCUGCACUCUGGGCUUCAGGACAUAAAUUUUCUGGUUUAAAAAAGUAUUUGAUUGAUUAUCUCUGUCUUUUGUGAAGAUAAUCUGAAAAGUAUAAAUCAUAUAUCCAAACUGAAAGUUGCUCAAGACUGCAAACAGCUUGACAUGUUGUCUGGAAAAGAAAUGUGAGACUAUUUGCUGUUUCUCCACUGCUCUGCUCUGCUGGCCUGGAGGGCUGCCCUUUGUCUGCAGUGUAUUAGUUGAGUACACAUCUCUGUUUCAUCUGUCCUGGUAUUUCAGUGUAUGGGGUGGAAAGUGUGGGUCAUAAAGAAGGAAACCGCUGGGAACUUUGUGCAAGGAAAGUAGAGAGUAAACAAGGGAGUUUUGUCUUUGUGUAGCUUAGCGAUGUUUCUUCGGGUUCAUAGCACUACGUAACUCAAAUACGACUAUAAGACACUGCAAAUUUUCUUUAGUAUAUGCAAUUUCAAUUUAUUACAAAAUGCUAUUUUAGAUAUUUAGCCCAUAGUGGAAAUUCUACACCAUUCCCCAUCCCCCAGCCACUUUUCUAGAUAAAUACUUUGAAAUAACAUUGUUUCAGAUUUACAGCAUGUAAAAUAAUAAACCAGCAAGACAGGAUAAUGGUGCAUUAAUGGACUAUAAAUACAUACUUGGGGUACACUGUAUAUGUAAGGCUGAAGACCAAGGGCCUUCAACCACCUGAAAUUACUAUUAAUGAUCCAUUAGCAUGUAAUGAAGUAUACAUAAUGUCUCUAUUAACAAGAAUACAUAUCAUCUUUGGGAAAAGAAAAAUGUAUUUUGUUGUAGUGAUAAAGGCUGACCUAUUAAUUAAAAGAAAGAAUAAAGAAGCAAUACCUCUGGAAAGUUUUAAAAUGUUUUCUAAAUGUUCUUGCUAUUUGUAAGAGGUGUAAUCAUAGAAUCAUAGAAACAUUUUGGUUGGAAGAGAACCUUAAGAUCACCAAAUCCAACCAUACCUUAACUCUAGCACUAAACCAUGUCCCUAGGAACCUCAUCACAUCUUUUAAACAACUCUGGGCAUGGUGACUCCACUACUUCCUUGGGCAGCCUGUUCCAACACCUGACAACCUUUCUGUGAAGAAAUUUUUCCUAAUAUUUAAUCUGAACCUUCCCUGGCCCAACUUGAGGCCAUUUCCUCUCAUCCUUUCACUUGUUACUUGAGAGAAGAGACUGAGGCCCCCUUGUUUCAACCUCCUUUCAGGUAGUUGUAUAAAGCGAUAAGGUCUCCCCUCAGCCUUCUUCUCUCCAGCCUAAACAACCCCAGUUCCCUCAGCUGGUCCUCACAGGACUUGUUCUCUAGACCCUUCGCCAACUUCAUUGCCCUUCUCUGGACUUGCUCCAGCACCUUAAUGUCUUUCCUGUGGUGAGGGGCCCAAAAUGGAACACAGUAUUCAAGGCGGGACCUCACCAGCACUGAGUACAGUGGCAAGAUCACUUCUCUAGUCCUGCUGGUCACACUUUUCCUGAUACAAGCCAGGAUGCUGUUGGCCUUUUUGGCCACCUGGGCACACUGCUGGCUCAUAUUCAGGCACUGUUGAGCAACAUCUCCACAUCCCUUUCCAGCCACUCUUCCCCAAACCUGUAGUGCUGCCUGGGGUUGUUGUGACCCAUGUGCAGGACCCAGCACUUGGCCUUGUUGAACCUCAUGCAAUUGGCCUCAGCCCAACUAGCCUCUAUUCUUUCACCUUCUGUGAAGAUUUAUUCUGCAAAGUCCUGUGUGUGUUUCUAUUCUUCCACAGGAAGUGCCUGGAGAUGCAGCUAAGUGCUCUUGUCUACCAUGUGAUCAGAUUCAUGAGGAGUGGAAAACGUCAUUGAAUUUCAAUGGAGUAGUUAAAACCACUCAUGCCAAUUUAGUAUGAUUUGGCAUUCAGAAGGUGAACAUACCGCUGUUGUGGAUGGGAUUCUUAUCUGGAUGUACUUUGAGUGAAUAGAUACAAAUUUACACCUACCUUGGUUAAUUCCUCUGGGACACAGAUGAGAUUAGUGUUCAUCAUCUAAAUCAUUAUUCCCAUGGUAGUUGUUUACCAUUUGUUUAGACUGAAAAGGUAUAACAUAAAGACACUGAACUCAAAAGAUGAUUUUUAACAUUCUUUCUGAAUAAAAAUGCAUCUAUAAAUCCAGAAGCAAAAAGAAAAAUGAAAUGCAGUCUUGCAGAACUGAAAUCUAUUUCCAUUGUCUCAAGUCUCUAAAAAAGUUAUUGCAAAGAAUAAAAGAAUAAGGUGAAAUCAGAACAGAAAUGUAAGGGAUGUCUACAAGAAUAUGCAACCCAAAUGUCAGUUACAGGCUUUCUUUAUCCUGCAUUUUCUCAGUGUCCUGUAUAAGGAAAAUGUGCUAGUUACUAGUACACUGGUGAUAUGAUGGAAUUGCAUACCAUUGAAUACAUCCUACAGAAAUUAAAAACAGAAGCUGGGAGUAGUAGGAAAGUCUCUGAGUCUGCUUGGCAUGGAUCACAUGGGAACAAUGCAGUUAGAGGUAAAUUCAUCCUGUUGAAAAAGUAAAAAGUCACACAAUUGCCCAAACUUGAAUGGAAUGCCAACCUUAGAUUUAUUUUUCAUGUUUGUGCUUUGUUAUUUUUAUGGUUCAGGCGAAGGUCUGAAGAAGAAUGGCCAGAACAGCAUAUGAAAAACUGUUCUUGAACAGCUAUUUUUUAUAGUUUGAGCACAAGCAAAAGGAAUGGAAAAUCUUACGAGAAAACUUUUUUUUUUUUUUACAGGAUGUUCUGUCUAAUCUGUAGGUUCAGAGAGUCUGAGUAGUUUGGAAAACAUAAAUUUUUCAUCUUUCCCUGACCAAAUGCUAGUUGCUUUUUACUUCUAUAGCUGACACAAAUAGAAGACAAAGAUAAAUGGGAUAAUCAAUAGCAAUUUGAUUGCUUUUAAGUGAAGAGCAUGGAAAACUGUAACGAAAAAGAAAGGAACUCUCUGGAAAUCUUGUGUCAACUAUAGCUUUAUUUUCUCUUUUGUCUUUUUCUUCUAUGAUUAUCUAACACAAGGGACUAGAAUAAAUGGACCCAGAUUCUUCUGAGAGGUAUGGAAUGAUGUGACAAGAGGUAACAGACACAGGUUAGAACACGGAAAAUUCUGACUCGACAUGAGAAAGAAUGUCAGCAUGGAAAAUUUUUGGAACAGGUUGCCCAGAGAGGUUGCAGAGUCUUCACCCUUGGAGAUACUCAAAGCACAACUGGACGUGACCCUGAGCAACCUGAUCGUUAUUAGCCCUGCUUUGAGCAGGGGGUUGGACUAGGGCCCUCCAGAGGUUCCUUCACCCAAGAUUAAUCUAUAAAUCUGUGCAUUUAAUGAUAUUACCUAAGCUGCUUUUGUGGUCUGUGAAAUGUUUCUGAAUGUAAAAACACACAUGAAUGUGGCAACUGUAGACAAGAAAACAUUAAUUUAUGAAAUCCAGUGGUAUGUUGAAUCUAGUUUAGCAUGAUGAUGUGUGAAAUUAACACAUCAGUGUGGACUAAGUAGAAUAAUUAAUCCUUUCAAAGAAGUGAUUGUUCCUACAUGGAUGCUGAAAUGGAAAUGAAGACCUGAUUUGGUCAAUGUUUAACAGUUAAAUUGAUUUGACAGUGGUUCACCCAUAUCCUAAUUGAUAUAGGAUUAUAAAUGCGUAUAUUUAUGUCGGUUUCAAAGAUGUAGCAUUUGAAAGGAUACAUGUCAGUGAUGGGAGAAACCUUUCACAUUAUACUAGCAAUUUAAAAGAGAGAAAAAUAUUUAAUAAUUGUUCAGUUAGGAGGCAAUAAUUAGGCCUGCUGUGCAAACGUGUCCUAUCAUCAAUGUAUAUGUUAUGGUAGAAAAUGGAAUUACUCUGUCAAACUCUCUAGGCCGCUACCUAGAUAGUGGAUCUAGACUGGAAUGCAUGGAGAGCAGAGUUGUUCAGACUGCAGCUAAGGAAAAGAGUAACAAAUUCAUAAUUUGAAAUAAACACUUUGUUCAGAUGAACUGAAUGUGAUUUAGGCAAGGAAGUUAUGAACCAGGAUAACAUUUCAUUGGACUUUUGCUUAAAUACAUUAUCCCUUCCUGUGACCCCCAGCUCUGCACUUUCUAGGCACGUGUUUUUUUGUGCAGAUUAAAUGUUUUUGUAAGGUCUUUUGCAACACCAAGGGAGCUGCACUUCUGAUGUGCAAGGGUGAGGUACAAGCAGGCAGAGACACACAGCUGAAGGUGAGGUCUUGGUACAUUUUAAAAGCCUUUGCAAUCUGUGAUAAAUUGAUCUCAGUGAUGUGGCUAAAUGGACUUUCAGGUUAGGGACAGAAAACCCCUUCCCCAAUCCCUGCCACUUGUGGAGAUGCACUAUUGUUCACAUUGGCUAGAACAGUCUUCACUGCCAGUUGUAUUUCUGCAUGAGUAGCAAUUUUGUUGUUGGUAAGAAAGGCACAAGCACAUUUUCGUCUUUGACCUGAACAACAUCUUGUCUAUUUAUCUGUUUAAUUUAGGAGGAAAAUGUGUGUUGUCUCAGGUAAAUAGUUAUUUUUGCUUUGCUUUUAUACUAGCUUUCUAAAAAUGCUUUGCCCAGGCUUGACUUGACUUCAUAUUGCAGCAUCUGUAUAAGUAUGUGUCCUGGUUUUGUUAAAAACAAGACCAGUUUCUCUUAUAGUGAAUUUUCCCUUCAGCUAAGCCCUUCUUAGUAAUUGCACUUUUUUGAAGGUGGAUACAUGUUCUGGUAGACAUAGCAAUAGAAUGCAAGGUCGCAGAUAAGGAUGCACGUCCCGUAAAUGAGAGGGACAAAGAGGAGCGAACUGAACAGGUGACUAAAACCGAUCAAUUAAGUAUUCCAUCCCAUCCACAUCAUAACACCAUAUAAAAGUGGGAGAUCACGAGUGUCUUGUCCCUUUUUUCCUUCUUCGACUAUGGCUGACAUCUGGGGAGGACCCUGUCUGCCAUCCCUGCAAAUCUGAGGGACAGACCCUGCAUCCUUGAAUCCAGUUCCGGUUUGCUGCAGCGUCCAACCCAGGACUUCUGGGUGCCUGCUGUGCUGCUGCUGGAGCAGUGUGGAGCUUUGCCGGGAAUGUCAAGAUUAGUUUUGUAUAUUUUGUAUUAUUUUCUCUAUUUUAUUAGUAGCGUUAGUAAAACAUUUAAAACUUUUUCCGACUCUCUCUCUCUUUGUCUCUUUUUGUCCUCCUAUCGCCUCUACUUAGUGGGAAGCGGGGCUGAAGGGGCUGGGGGGAGGGGGAGUUAACAAAGCAUCUGCCACCAUUUAUUGUCAUCCUGCAAUCAAACCUUGACAGUAUGGCAUUUUGUUAUAUUGGUAGUCUUUGUGUUACCUAUUGAGAAGUAAGUCCUUGAAAGAUAACUGUAUUACAGCUUCAUAUUUGGGACACAUAGAAAUUUAUUUGUGAGUAUGGGUUUUUCAUAUGUUACAGUGAUUUUAUUUACAUAAUCCUCAGGAAAAAUAUGUCUGGGAGACACAUUACAGAAGACCAUAACUCAUUUUGUAGAAGGGAAGGCUUGGCAUAAACAGUCUGUGUCUGCUUCAGCCAUUCUCUAGAAGUUAAAAUAGCAUCAGUCAUGGUAGAAAAUUAAGAUGUGCUUGCUGCAUUUCAGCCAACCAAAACUCUGUGUAUAAUGUGCUUGAAUGACUCUUGAAACAGCUGAACAUUGUGUGUCUGACAAGGUCUAGCAGACAAUGUUGUCCUAGCCCUCUCCCCUCCUAUCUGAUAACCAGCUAGCUUAUUUUUUUUUCCCAUUUGACACUAUCAUUUGGGAAAUCCCUUUUUAUCUAUGACAUGUUUUUAAUCUAGUAUACUCCUGUUAAAGAUCUAGUGAAAAUACCUUUCCAAUAUUAAGAUAGCAAGAAGAAUGUUGUUGUAAUCUUGACCUAAGUUAUGUCUCUUAAGCUGUCUGUGCACUGAAAAGUAGAAGAAAUGUUUUGACAGAGAAAAACAUUUGUUGUCAGCUUUGUUUUAUCCAUGGCUGAGAAGGGAAAUGGAAACUAUACUUCAGCAGGGUGCAGACACUGAUGGCUAAAAUGAUCUUCUGCUAAAACAAAUUAGAAGAGAGCUGUUCUGCUUUAUGCCUCAUUCUUUUUCCAGUGAAAAGUGCAACUAAAGGAAUGGCUUGUGUGUUGGAAAGAAAUGUAGAAAUCUUUAAAAUAAUGUAAAUAGUGACCAUGAAAGAAGCACUACUUAUAUAAUAAAAUGGAAAAAAAAAAGUAUGGAUGGUACAGCGUGAAGGGUUUCUCUGAGUGUUGGUAUCAGUAAUUUAAAGAUGCAUAAGUAUAGUCUCUUUAAGUUGUCAUUAAUUUCCAUGUUUUGUGUAAACAUGGCAGUGACAGAAAGAGUUCCACAGCUGGAGGCAACCUUAAGUGGAAGAAGGCUCUCAUGGCCACAACUCCUUGAGACCUUGUCAAUAAGAAACAGAGUGACUGCAGUGUGGCCUGUAUUUAUCGAACUUGCUCUUUCUUUGCUUUUCUCCCUUCUGACUUAUUAGCUUCAAGAGCUGGCUCCACCUGUCAAGUCUCCCUACACUGUUCUUCCUGUUACCUGGAAAAUCUGUUUAGCUUGGAGGUAGCUGAAAAGACUGUAAGAAAAUUCUGUAAGAAAAGACUGUAAGAAAAAUGUUGACAGUCUUAGCUUGGAGUCUCUUUCUGACACUUCUGCUGUUGGUUUCUUCAUGUGACACUCAGCUCCAAACACAGCACAGAGCAAUUCUCAGGGCUGAAGUUGUACACUUAAAAAUCUAUACCUGGGAAGCUACAAAGCAUUUGUUAGAUCACAUAUGAGGUAAGCCCAGCUCCGUCAACCUCUUCCUAGCUAAUGACAACAUUAGUAGUCCUUUGCUGAGCCUCUUCUGGUUUCUCACCACCCUUCUGGAUCAGGCUCAAGGGAUCUGAAACUUGAUGUAGCAUGUUGCAGCCUCACCAGUGCCGGGCACAGGGAAGUAACUUCCCUCUAUCUGCUGGCCAUGAUCACAUGUAAAACAACAGCCCAUGGUUCACCUUGCAUAGAAAACAAAGAGAACAAUUAGCCAUACAAGUAUGACUUGAGGCAUGAAGUUCAUAUUCUGAGUUCAGAUACUUAAAUGGCAGAAAUAUACUUUAAGACAAUGUUACAUAAUGAACAGAUGCAAAUUCAUGUACAUUUUGUUAUCUAAGCCCAGGCACCUUUGUAACUAAAUUGUUUGCACCUAUUACCCGCCAGACUCUGUUUGCAAUUCUGAUUAUUUCACAUGGGUAAGUUAUAGGGUUGUGUAUAUUUUCUUUAAUUUUUUCCCUUGUUUGUAGUAAAAAAAUAUAAAUACAAAUGGGAAAUGUCUCUAAACACUCAGUGUAUGUUUGAAUCUAAUUUAUGAAUAUUAAUUUGUUUUUCUGUGUAACUGAACUAGUAUGCACAGUAGUUUCUCAUUCUUUUCAGUCUGACAUGCAUUUUAGGUCGUCUUUAUAUAUCCUUUAAUCCUUGCUCAUCAUUGAUUUGCUUUUGCUGAAUUUCUUCAGAAAAGAAAAGCACUAGCUUUUCACUCUGAGUAAAUGAUGAAUUUUACCUCAAAUGCACACAGUAGUUGCUACAUUUCAGAAGGUUAACAAAGCUGAAGUUCAAUUACCGUCCCGCUGCCCCCCAAAUAUUGAGAACCUCAGUACUCUCAGGGUUGAGAAUACUCUCAUCAAGGGGGUCUCAGGUUUUUUAUCUGUUACUGAUGUAUCUUUUUCUGAUGCCAGCUCUCCAUCUAUGACAACUUUCAGGUUCAAUUGUUAUUUCCAAUUUCUUUCAAACUUUUUUUUUUUUUUUGAGUUGUAUACUUUUUCAUUAUACAGUGCGUUUCAAAAAGAUGGACCCAAAUUCAUACAGCCUGUAUUUCAAAUCAGGUCUAUCAAUUUGCAACACUCCAUAACCCUGUAGUUCACAUAAUCAUUAUACCUUUAGGAAAAAAUAAAAUAAAAAUCUCCAACAAUUUCCCCCCACUACUCCCCCAACUUGAUCAGCAUUCUUGUUCUUUCCAAAAAUCAUUUUUAGCUUUCUUUUUCCUGUGAAAGAUGAAAACCUGUAUUUAUUGGUUUUCCUGGAAUUCUUUGAGGUCGAUGAAAAUAAGAUAAUUAUUAACUUCACAGUAUCAGAAAUUUUCCCUGUAACAAUAAUAUCCUGUAACUUAAGACUGCAGGCAAAAAAUAAGUUUUGUUCGACAAAUACCUAACUUUACAUAGUUCAUCAUAAUCUCCUUUUUCUGUAGCUCCAAAGAAACGGCAUGUUUCUUUCAUAGACUUGCUGUCCCUAAAUUUAGGCGGUACAACGUGAAAUGAAGUGUUUCUUUGUCAAACCUUGUUUCAGUUACAGUGAAAUUGUCAAAUGUAAGUGGCAGGCAGGGAAAUCCUGUCAUUCAAGUGGAGAUGGACUGGUGGUGAGACACUGGAACAUGCUGCACAGAGAAGUUGCGGAUGUUGCAUCUCUGCAAGUGUUCAAGGGCAGGUUGGAUGGGGCUUUGAGCAACCUGGUCUAGUGGAAGGUGUCCCUGACCAUGGCAGUGGGGUUGGAACUAGGUGGUCUUUAAGGUCCCUUCCAACCCAAACCAUUCUAUGAUUUUAUUAUUGUAUGCUGUAGUUCACAUGAAUCUCUGCCUGAUUACGGUCACUCUCUAAGUAAUACUAAAGUCAAGCUAACCUUUGGUAUCAAAAAUACACCCUGAGAGUCUUAUUUGUUGCUGUCAUAAUGUGAAUAGUAGUCAUACCCAGACUGUUUGCAGUGGAGCUGUUAUUUUUUCCUGAAUGUUAAGUAUGUCUUUUUUGUUUGUUUGUUUGUUUGUUUGUUUGUUUGUUUUUGUUGUAUCGUGAUAUAUUAGAAACAGAAAGCUAUGGCAGAAAAAAAAUCUGACUACAAGUAGAAUUUUAAACCAUUAUUUUGCAUCUAUGGAUGCUAAUUCCACUUCUGAACUGGAGGUUCUUGUGGCCAAGGUAUGUGGACUGCACCUAGGAGAACUGUUGCAUGGAUGUUUCUUGUCCUACCUUUCCUUUGCUCUGGAUGUAAUAUUUUGUAAAAGACUAUUGGAGGAGCUGCUGAAACUACUACUAAUCUUUGCUUGUAACCUCCCUCUUCCCCUUCCUCCCUGCAGUCCAAGGACUUCCCUGCCACUUGCCUAUACCUUGGCUAUUUCCUCAAUUAUUUAGGAGUAUUUUGCUUCCUUUAGUUGGAUAAAAUUCUUCUCAUUAACAAUACUUUGCCUUGCCUACAUACCCAAUGUCUUAGGAAGACUGCAAAUGUUUGUCUCAUGUUUUUCCUAUCUUUUUCCAUAGAAAUAUCUGAUAGCUUUUGAUCUGAAGAUCUCACUACAGUCGGAAGAAAAAUGAAACAGUAAAAUACAGCAUGAUUAUCUCAUUUUGUAAUCUGGUGGCCUAAAUGGCCUAUGGCCAUGGAAGUGUGAAGUAACAUUGACAAAUCAACAUUUGCAUUCUAGUUUCUCUGAAAAAAUGACAACUCUAUUGUGCCAUACACAUAGAAACAAAGACUUGAAAUAUUGACGCUAAUAAAAUACUUCAAAGAAUGCCCUGCAGUCUCUGUAUCUAAGAUCAGAACCAUACUGGGAGAAGGCAGCAGCUUUAAUGACAAAACAGGUGUCAUAAGAGAAAUGCAGAAGAGCAUGCAAAUUUUUUGCAGUCACGUCUUGAAGAACUUUUAGUUUUCUCAAGAAAAUCUGAGGAAAAACUAAGGGAUUUCAGUAGUAUAACUAUAUUUGUACCAAGGUUUUUUGCACUGUAUAAGCAAGUAUUGCUAGCUUUAUAAUGGCAAACUGCAAUAUAAUGAACAAACAGAUAGGUAAAUUUGCAUCUGAAUACCACUGUAAAAAUAUUAUAGAAUCUAAUAUCAUCAAAUGCAUCAGUUGAGUGACAUUAUGUAUAAAUAUUUUAAAUCUAAAAUAUUAUAGAUUAUUUGAGACUAAUUGACCUUACAUGCUGGAAAUUUUCAGUAUUUUAUUGAAGUUGUUCAAGUCUUUCAAAACUUUCAAUGCUUUAUUAUUGGCUAAUAGCUAUAUAUAAUCAUUACUUACCUGAGUCUGAAUUUUAAUAUCUGCAUUAUUGAUUAGCUGUUCCAUUAAGAACUGAAUUUUGUGAGGUAUGGGGGCAUUGCACUCAAUACUCAGUAUUACGACCUUUCAUACCAGAAAAAAUCCAUAAAUGCAGUAACAUAAAAAAAAAAAUUAGAACAUUCUGUUGAAAUAUGUUAUGAUGUUUUAGUUAUUUUCCUCAGCAUUUAUCAGCUGAAAUAUCUAUUAUUACUGUCCAGAAUGUGAGUAAAAGGAAUAUUAGAGAAAUAGGUAAGAAUACAGAAAAUUUAAUAUUCUAGAUGUUAGGCCUCCCACAAUCAGUCUCAUUAUAGGUAACUACUGAGUGUUUCUAUUGGGGACACAAAAUGUACUACAACUACUACAUUACUACACCUUUCAUGUUGAAACAGAGUAUAAAAUGUGAAGAAUGAAAGCACAAUCUAAUUAAUUCAUGCAAACCAUCCAUGUUUUGUAGUAGAUUAUUUAAGAUGCCUGAGUUUGAUUCAAGAAAUGGCACUGCAUCCCAUGUGUUCCAGGUCUUAUUUUUUCUAGUAGACUAACUGACAAUACUCAAAGGGUGUGAAAAUAGUUUUAAUGAUAUAAUCUGUCUCACAGUGAAAAAUACAUGAUAUCUGCAGUUGACACCUGGAAAGAGUUACCUUGGACUGUCAAACAGAAUUAAAAUAUCUUAUAAUAAGAUUAGUUGGAAAAUCUAGCACUUGGCAAAGCCAGGCUAUCCAAAUGAAGUAUUGCUGUUAUCAUGAAGUGUAUUGACAGAAUAUCACAGACAUUUUGAAAGUUGGGACAAGCUUAAGGACAUAAGCGAUGUGAAUAGCUGUUGCCCAAUGUUAUGUUCACAUGUUUUUCUGGUUCAAAGCAGUACAGUUAUGAAGCUGUUCCUGGCAGUAUGAGGGUCCAGUUCUAAUAUGAAAUCAGUAUCUAACACAGACCUUUGAGGUAUAAUUUUUUUUUCUGGAAGCAGUACUAUAUGGAUUGCUUAAUCUAGUAAUUUAGUCGUGUACUUUUUACGCUGGGUUGUUUAACAUUUGCUUUGUACAGAAAACAGUAGGAAAUGCAAAGCUUAUACAAAAGACAAAGCCAAAUUUAAGUAGAUUUGUUAUGACUGUACAGGUAUAACAACCUUUCCAGGAGGAAGGUUUUGUGGUUUAAUCCACCAGGCAGCUGAACACUAGACAGCCAUCCCAGUUGGAUGGUGGGGAGAAUUGGGAAAAAAGGUAAAUUUUGGUACUCUUUAUGGAUUGAGAUAGAGAAAGUUUAAUAGGACAGAAAAGGAGGGGAAAAUAACAGUAAUAAUAACAAUAAAAGAAUAUACAAGGCAAGUGAUGCAUGAUGCAAGUGCUCACCACCUGCCAAUCAAUGCCCAGCCUGUCCCUGAGCAGUGGACUCCUAGCCAGCUUUCACCCUAGUUUAUAUACUGAGCAUGAUGCCAUAUAGUAUGAAAUAUCCCUUCGGUCAUUUGGGGUCAGCUGUAACACUGUGUGUCCCCCCAACAUCUUGUGCACUCCCUGGUGGGGUGGUGUGAGAAACAGAAAGGGCUUUGACUCUGUAUAACCACUGUUCAGCAGUAACUAAAACAUCACUGUGUUAUCACAGAAUCACGGAAUGUGUCCAGGCAGGUUUUGAAUGUCUCCAGAGAAGGAGAAGGCAUUAUUCUCAUCCUUAAUCCAAAACACAUGACUAUACCAGCUACUAGGAAGAAAACUAACUCUAUCCCAGGCAAAACCAGGACAUAAAGCCAUUUUACCGAGGUAUGGUGUGGUCUCCAGUAGUAGCAAAUGGCCUGAAUCUAUGGUUAAUCCUGAGUUAAAAGAAAAAUAACUACAAUUUUUGGUACUCUAACCUCUGGAAACCAUCCCCAUGUGAGGUUGGUAAUCCUUUAUUUAUUUGUUUUGAACAGGUUUGAACAAUUGACUGAUUUUAUCCAUUCUAAGAUUCAGUAAUGUUACAAAAUCAUGAAAAAUGUCAAGCCUAGUUACUGUGUCUCUGUAACUGGUAUGAUGUGAAGCUUCAGAAUGAAGCUGGUUAGCAGCUAGAUAGCAGACUAAUUAGUAGGGCUGUUGUAGUCCAUCAGAUGCUAAGAGAUGUUUACUGGAGACACUCAUGAUAUUUGCAGGGAAAGGUAAGCAGACAGAGAGAUGCAGAAACCCAACAUUUAUAUUAUAUUGCAAGGGUUAAAUACAUUGCACUGCUAUAACAUAUGGACAUCCACAAUGAGGGUAAAGUUAUUAACUAAUCUGUGGCAGAUGUGUGACAGAAGUUGACAAUCAGAAGUGAAAUGCAUUAUAUGUUUUAGAAAGGACAGACCAAAUCUGUAUCUGAAAAGCUGAAGCACGGAAAGGUUUAAAGCAGAACUCAUGAUAAGUUUUGGGAUGUGAAAAUCAAGUGGUCAGCACUGUUAGUCACCCUCCUGGUGGGGCUGCUCUGCCACUGGGUGCAGAGGCCUGGGAGAGGAUGUCACAUUCCCAAGGAUGUGGCAGUUUGCUCCUCCAUCCUUUUGAAAAAGAAACACUGUAACACUGAAGGCCAGUAACAAAAACCUCUGCCGUGGAAUUUAAUUUUCUUUCCUACACCUCUGUAUAACUGGGUAUGUGCAGUCUCAGUUCUCUCCAACACUUUUAGCCAGAGUUAAUUUUUAGAAUUGUUUUUUGAUAUGGGAGUUAACACUGGGUAGGUGUAUAUUUGCAAGGAUGCUAUCUAAAGUAUGGUAACUGGAGGAGGUUUAUGCCUGUGUUUUAUUGAGCAUUACCUUCUGUAUACCUGAAGAUUUCAUCAGGCAAAUGGAGAACAUUCUGGAAGAUUCAGCCUUAUUUCCAAAUUAGCAUUCUGAUGUAGCCUGCUGUACGUACUGGUAAGCAAUGUAACUGAGAUCUGCUCUGUGCUAAUGGCAUUAAUCAGAAUAAUUUCCCUGAAAUUUUGAUGUAUUAUUAUGUUUGCCACCUAUUAUUGCUUAUUGCUAGCUUUCUUUUAAUACAAGAAUAGAUACUUUUAAAAUUAAUCUUUGUCCCUUUGAUAACGGUAUUAAAUGCUAGUAGACAAUCAUUCUCCAGUGAAAAAACAUAUGCUUAAUACGCUGUAUUAGACAGGUUAAUACGUUUUUGCAUUAUACAACAUGAAAGUUUAUUACUAUGGUGACAUUAAUGCAUGUAGAGUAAUGUUCUCCAAACCAGUCGUUACCAACAGAUAAAGGCUGAUUUGGUAAUUGCAACCCUAAGGCAGAAUCAAGGGGUGUUAUUGCACUAAAACUGUUAACUGUAGGAUGGAUGGUGGAGACCAUAAUAUUCUGCUACUAAAGGGGGGCAUCACACUGCCCAAAUUUCAUGUGAGGCCCUGUUGAUGACGAACUGUGCAAACACCUGCUUUGUUGGUUCCUUGGAUAUCUAAAGGCAGCAGAUUAUUGCCAGGCCUCUAGCUAAGGGUCUGUCAAGCUACCUCUUAUAGACCUUGCCUUGGAUGUUGACUGGAGAAACAACUUUUUGAUUAAUAAAAGACUAAUGUAGUCAGAAGGAGCAGUCAACAAUAAUAUUGGGCCUCAAACCUGGUUGGCUACUGAGCUCAGAGACAGCCAUUGUGAAGCACACUGGAGGACCUUUCUAGGCUCCUUUUCUUUGAGAUGACAGACUGGACAUCAGUGACGUUGAUCAAGACACAGCUCUUUUAACACCAGAAUGUGUUCCGUGGUGAGACAGGCAGGAGGUGCAGCUAGCACAGAACAUGGGAAUGCACCACAGAUUUACUUUUCCCUCCAUAUUUUUUCCUGUGUGACAUUGCCAACUCAACACGCAAUAAAUGCCCCUGUCACAGAAGGUACAUGUUUUUACGUCAGUUCAGCUGGCAACUGUAUUCUGAAGCAUCUGAGGAGCAUUUUAAGUUCAUAAUGGACAUAUUACCAAAAUGCUGCUAUAAAUGGUAGUUGCUUGUGGCAGAUGCACUUCCUUUCUCUGCCUCCCCACAAAGUACCAGAAGCUUCUAGGGCAAUGAACCACUAGGAUAAUGCACAGGGCCAUUGGUCAGUAGACAGGGCCCUUGACCAAAGAGACGCCUUGGUUGAGUGAAGUUUCUGGACCACCACCAUAAAUGACCACAGCUCAGAUUCAACUAGGGUAUAAAUGGAGCUCACUUGGACACAUCCAUUGAGUUGGUCUUUCUUGGAGCAGUGGGUCUGCAGUGGAAGACUUUCCUUCUUAGACUGGGAUGUCAUCUAAGGAACAUUCCUCAAGGACUGAGACAGCUUGCCUUAUUGGUAAGCGAUCUUCUGCAUACCCUUGAGACUUUUCACUUUGCAUGAGUGUGAAGACAAGCAUUUUGAAUCAUUCUUCUGGAGUUUUGGGAUCUCUUGUGUCUGAAUUGGCUGUGUAGUGACUGAACACCUAACUGGUCUCCAAAUCUGUGUUUUAUAAUGCUGCACUGCUGAAUAAGUUUGGAUAAAUCCCAUUUCUAGUUUGUUCUCUCCUAAAUAGUUCUGGUUAGAAUAAAGACUGUUUGGAGCUCAUCACCUGCCUAAAUUGAUUUCUGAGGUGCCUGCAUGACAUUGUGUUACUAAAUCUCUUUAGAUUAAAAAUUCCAAGGUGAAGUGAGUUUUACAAGUCACUCACUGCAAACAAAGUUUCUACUACAAUUUGUAUAAUUAUCUGAAAGCACUUUCUGGAAUGCUGUGAUUAAAGAGUGAUUAAACACCAAACCAAACCAAAAACAAUGAUAAAAAAAUUCUGUAGUUUAAGACUUGCAAAAAUGCUUAUCAAGAUAUGGUCUGAUUUACUUUCUUUGUUUUUGCCAAUGGAAGGUCUACAAAUCCACCUGUAGUCACUGCACCUGCCUCCUUCAAACCAUGACCAGCUUAGUGCUGAAACCCUCCUAUGGAGGUGGUCUGGUUUUAGAUUCUUUCUUCUAGGGAGAGGAAAGCUGAUGGUGGUGACAGAUGAGGGUAUUGUUGCCUGUGGGAUUAUGAACAAGGCAAGAACACCCCACUGCCUACCUACAACAACCCAGCUUUGGAUGAAAUCUAUGGCUUGGAGUUGGGGUUGGACUUGCUUCCCAGCUGCACUGUCCAGCUUCUCUUGUUGCCUUUCAUUGAAUGCUGUGUUUUUUUCAACAUGAGAAAAAUGCAUGAGGUUUGGGCUGGAACUCAGAAGGACUGAGCCCUGUGCUGUGCCAGUUAAUCACAGCUGCCUGGCAGUGGGUGGUCUCUGAACUGCUGUCAUGAAUUUCUGCAGGUUGAAACUGCUCCUAGAGGGUGGAUUUACACUAAGGGUUUCAUGAUUGCUGUUCUUGGUACCAUUCAUGCUGGUGAAAUAAAAGCAUGUCUUUAAAAGGUGAUAGCAGAGCUGAAAUGAACUAAUUACAGCUUCAAAAUGAAUAUUUGUGGAAAAUGGACUCCACUAUUCACCUAACAGUUCUUCUCACCCAUCUCUCUACUGACGCCUAGACAUUCAGUCCUACUUUGGUCAUCAUGUGCAGUUUUUUAUCCAGGAAUGCACUUUUCUUUCCACUUUUAUUCACUGAAUCUACUGUGUUGUACUUCGAGAAGAACUUGUCCCUUUUAUAGGAGAUCAAAUGAGGCUCAUAUAUAAUAGGUAGGUGAAAAGAACAAGGUAUGGCCUUGGAGGGUCCUAACCCUCAAUCUAUACACCGAUAAUGUCCAGGGAUCCUUAACCUGAGCCUGAAUGUUCAGAAGUUCCUGCAGAGCUCUGGCAUCAUGCCCAAGUAAUUUAUGUUAAUACUAUUUCUGGAGUUAUUCUAUCUUAUUCUUUUAUGUCUCUGUGUUUGAGAGUGCUUCACCUUCAUUAUCUUUAGAGAUCAACACUAAACUAGACAUUUCCUCCCUGUUCUCUCUGUGAAACCAAAACAAAUAAAUCACUUAGCUUCUUUGCUGUGUCUUUAGUGUCCUUACUGUGUUAUUUUUAAUCAUUUUGACCUUGUAAACCCAAUGACUUUUACAAGGGUCUUGAUAUAUACUUAAGCAAUUCCUCUGUAACAGCAAUAUAUUUAAGUAAAGUUAUAUUAUUUUAUUGCACACUGUCUUUUUUGCACAUCUUUUGAAGUGUUUUCACAGCCUUACCAGUAUUUCAGCUAAGUGACUUUGUAUUAUGUCUGUCAAGGAUAGAAUUCAAGUGCUAUGUCUAUAUAUUAAGUGUUAUCUCUGAACUUGAAGAUAAUAUGCUUUAUCAUUUUUGAGUAUUCAUUAGGUAAUAAAUAAAAAUUGAUAAUUACAAAUUUGAAGAAUCUGUUUAUUUCCACUGAGUCUACUGCACAGAUAUGUUUUGGAAUUAUUUCCAUAUGUUUAUGACAUCAAUUUAGUGUGAGAUCUUUCAGAGACUCAUUGUCUUUAUAGUUCAUUUUAUCUAAAGGACUUUUGUUCUUCUACAGUUUUACUAGUUCAAAAUAAAACUGUUAUGCUUUUGUAUUUCCCUAUCACAAGCAAUAAGCACAAAUACAGCAUAUUAUAUUUCAAUAUGGGGCAAAAGAUUAAAUUCCAGCCAGUUUACAUCCAAAAAAAUGUUGAAGGAUCCAAGCUUUGUCUGAAAUGAUGGCUGUAGUAUUUUUAAACCAAAAUAUAUUGCAUAGAUUUUCACAUUUGAGAAAUUUUACUCUGAAAACUGUAAGCCAUAUAAAUUCAAAGCCUGAGAAUUUACGGUCAAGAAUUUUCAAUUGAGUUUCAUUUUCCAAAGGGUACAAUCCAAUAUUGUUGAAAUAUUUCCAUUUCUGUGGGGGGAAAAAAAAAAAAAAGUUUUCAUUUAAUCUUCUGUGAAGCUUUCAAAUAAUUACAUUUCAGGAGAUUCGGGGUUUAUUUUCCAUAGCACUCUCCAAAGGAGAUAUGUGUAUUGUCACACAUUUAUCUCCUUUCAUCUUUGGGAGAAUGGCAAUCUCUUGCAGGCUUUUCUAACCUCUGGUGCAUCUAUGAGACAGCAGCAGUGGUACCCAAUGUUACAUGGCUUUGGUGAAUGCCCAGGAGUUUUAGGAAGACAAGAAUGUAAAGCACCUUUACAUAAUAAACAAGCCUCUGUACCUCC
Columba livia (rock pigeon) is the source of this 27048-nucleotide long non-coding RNA. RefSeq lists it as uncharacterized. The record is from RefSeq and is a predicted model, not a curated record. The transcript has 10 exons. NCBI's taxonomy places the organism in Eukaryota, Metazoa, Chordata, Aves, Columbiformes, Columbidae.